This 253-nucleotide ribosomal RNA is filed under the name uncultured bacterium. RNAcentral describes it as "partial 16S ribosomal RNA". It matches the Rfam family "Bacterial small subunit ribosomal RNA", at positions 524 to 776 of the family's 1533-position model. The record is from RNAcentral.
UACGUAGGCAGCGAGCGUUGUUCGGAGUUACUGGGCGUAAAGUGUGCGCAGGCGGCAGAGCAAGUCGAGUGUGAAAGCCCCGGGCUUAACUUGGGAAUUGCGCUCGAAACUACUUUGCUGGAGUGUGGCAGAGGAAGGUGGAAUUCCACGUGUAGCGGUGAAAUGCGUAGAGAUGUGGAGGAACACCAAUGGUGAAGGCAGCCUUCUGGGCCAACACUGACGCUCAUGCACGAAAGCGUGGGGAGCAAACAGG